GGCAGGAGUGUCCUUGCUGUCCUGUGCCCUCCUGGCUUCUGCCUGUCCCAGGGGGAGCGCCAGAUCUUGGGCUGUGUCC
Molecule: microRNA precursor, 79 nt
Filed under: Canis lupus familiaris (dog)
Lineage: Eukaryota; Metazoa; Chordata; Mammalia; Carnivora; Canidae
Description: miRNA (ENSCAFG00845008061.1, ENSCAFG00845024310.1)
Source: RNAcentral